AACAAUACAGGACUUUUUUGGUUUUGUAAUUGGAAUGAGUUAAGUAUAAACCCCUUUACAAGUAUCAAUUGGAGAGCAAGUCUGGUGCCAGCAGCCGCGGUAAUUCCAGCUCCAAUAGCGUAUAUUAAAGUUGCUGCAGUUAAAAAGCUCGUAGUUGGAUUUCUGUUAAAUUGUUUAUAUACAAUAUUUUAAAAAUAUUUAUAUAACGUUAACAUAAUUCACAUUACUUCUUUUUUUUUUUUUAAAUAAAAGAAAAAAGUAUGUGAAAUUUUACUUUGAGAAAAUUAGAGUGCUUAAAGCAGGCAAAUUAGCCUUGAAUACUCCAGCAUGGAAUAAUAUAAAAGAUUUUUAUCUUUUUUUAUUGGUUCUAAGAUGAAAAUAAUGAUUAAUAGGGACAGUUGGGGGCAUUUGUAUUUAACAGUCAGAGGUGAAAUUCUUAGAUUUGUUAAAGACAAACUAGUGCGAAAGCAUUUGCCAAGGAUGUUUUCAUUAAUCAAGAACGAAAGUUAGGGGAUCGAAGACGAUCAGAUACCGUCGUAGUCUUAACCAUAAACUAUGCCAACUAGAGAU
Molecule: ribosomal RNA, 570 nt
Filed under: Cryptosporidium sp. 21a
Lineage: Eukaryota; Apicomplexa; Conoidasida; Eucoccidiorida; Cryptosporidiidae
Description: partial 18S ribosomal RNA
Rfam family: Eukaryotic small subunit ribosomal RNA
Source: RNAcentral